ACGGGAGGCAGCAGUGGGGGAUAUUGCACAAUGGAGGAAACUCUGAUGCAGCAACGCCGCGUGAGGGAAGAAGGUCUUCGGAUUGUAAACCUCCGUUAUCAGGGACGGAACAAUGACGGUACCUGAAGAGAAAGCUCCGGCUAACUACGUGCCAGCAGCCGCGGUAAUACGUAGGGAGCGAGCGUUGUCCGGAUUUACUGGGUGUAAAGGGUGCGUAGGCGGGUCUGCAAGUCAGGCGCGAAAUACCGGGGCUUAACUCCGGGGCUGCGCUUGAAACUGUGGAUCUUGAGUGAAGUAGAGGCAAGCGGAAUUCCCAGUGUAGCGGUGAAAUGCGUAGAUAUUGGGAGGAACACCAGUGGCGAAGGCGGCUUGCUGGGCUUUAACUGACGCUGAGGCACGAAAGCGUGGGGAGCAAACAGGAUUAGAUACCCUGGUA
This 436-nucleotide ribosomal RNA is filed under the name uncultured Clostridiales Family IV bacterium. RNAcentral describes it as "bacterial SSU rRNA". It matches the Rfam family "Bacterial small subunit ribosomal RNA", at positions 341 to 792 of the family's 1533-position model. Lineage: Bacteria; Bacillati; Bacillota; Clostridia; Eubacteriales; Eubacteriales Family IV. Incertae Sedis. The record is from RNAcentral.